Molecule: long non-coding RNA, 773 nt
Organism: Pygocentrus nattereri (red-bellied piranha)
Lineage: Eukaryota; Metazoa; Chordata; Actinopteri; Characiformes; Serrasalmidae
Exons: 2
Source: RefSeq, a predicted model, not a curated record
CCACAGUCCAAAGACAUGCAGUCAGGCCUACUGGACAUGCAGCCCCCACUCUUAGGAGCCCACCAGGAGGUGUCCUGGGUCUCCCAGUGGCCAGUCCAUCCUCACAUCAAACCCCUCUGAAUGACUGUGUACAUCUCCGUGCAGAAAUUUUGAGAAAACGAUGGAAUUCCCCUUUCAGCGUAGGAUAACGAACUCCAUGGAAACGUGCGGCACCUGGGCCGAAAACAAAUCGGUACGCAGUAAACAGCAGUGCAGUGUGAUUGAACCUCAGCCUUUCUCUCUCUCUGCUGUUGCUCUAAUGGGCUGCAUUAGAACCUGUAUUAUUCUGGCCUUAUUAAACACAAAUUGAAAACUGUAAAAUUGCCACAACACAUAAUGGAACUACCAAGCAAUCUGAACGCUGAUGCACACGCCAUGAUGUUCUCUACAGGAGCCAGAGAUGCGCUUCAGGGUAACAAUGUGCACUUACAGACUCUCUCUCUCGUCUAAAUAUGCCCAUCGCAUCCACGGUCCAGCUUCCUCCAGGCAAACAGGGACAGCGAUUAUUCACGUACACCGCACACUGAUGCAAACGACGAAGCGGCUUCGAAUUCAAUUACGCUUUACAUUUCAAUAAGUAGAACAGGAGAGCAGACCUGACAGCUGUAUUACUUCUAGGCGGACUCCUGUAAUUGGCACUUAGCUUGUAAAGGAUGCUGUUCAUUUGGGUCAGUGAUAAGGUGAUGUACUCAUAACCGCGACACUCAUACCACAUUAAAGGGCCUGUAUCAUAA